CUGCUAGACCUGAAAAUUGAAGAAACAUAAUAAAUGACAAAGCUAGAGGGAAAGGGUCAACCAAAAUUUUUCAGAACAUGAAGAAAUGUGUGUGGCAAAAUUACAACAAACAGAACUUUCUAACAUAUGCAGUUUGGUAUCCACCAAGAAUAAAAGCCAACUAAAUGAAUUUUUAUCAUGGUUGUCGAUAAUUAUCAUUACCAGUGAUCAAGGAUCCCAGUUCAGGAGUUCUCAGUAACACUGGCCAGACUCUACUUGAUUCAGGCUGUUCUCUGUAUUUUCUUCAGCACCAAUAAAAAGAAUGCUUUGUAUUGUAGAACCCAUCAUCAUUGCACCAUUUGCAAGAGAUUCAAGCACAGAAAUAUUGAACUGACAAUUUCAAUCACUUGUUUCUGGUUGAGAAAUCUUUGGAUGUAGAAGGAAUGGGAAGGAAACUUUCGGGUGGGGGAGGAAUAUAAAGUUACCAAAAAAGAGAGAAAAAAAAAA
Molecule: unclassified non-coding RNA, 486 nt
Filed under: Hevea brasiliensis (rubber tree)
Lineage: Eukaryota; Viridiplantae; Streptophyta; Magnoliopsida; Malpighiales; Euphorbiaceae
Source: RNAcentral